RNAcentral lists this ribosomal RNA (518 nucleotides) under uncultured bacterium. RNAcentral's name for it is "partial 16S ribosomal RNA". It matches the Rfam family "Bacterial small subunit ribosomal RNA", at positions 28 to 523 of the family's 1533-position model. The record is from RNAcentral.
GACGAACGCUGGCGGCGUGCCUAACACAUGCAAGUCGAACGGAAUGAGGGGGCUUGCUCCUUCAUUUAGUGGCGCACGGGUGAGUAACGCGUAGAUAAUCUGCCUGAUGAUCUGGGAUAACAUCUCGAAAGGGGUGCUAAUACCGGAUAAGCCCACGGGGACUUUGGUCUUUGCGGGAAAAGGGGGGGACCUUUUGGCCUUCUGUCAUCAGAUGAGUCUGCGUACCAUUAGCUAGUUGGUAGGGUAAAGGCCUACCAAGGCUACGAUGGUUAGCUGGUUUGAGAGAAUGAUCAGCCACACUGGAACUGAGACACGGUCCAGACUCCUACGGGAGGCAGCAGUGGGGAAUUUUGCGCAAUGGGCGAAAGCCUGACGCAGCAACGCCGCGUGAGUGAUGAAGGCUUUCGGGUCGUAAAGCUCUGUCAGGGGGAAAGAAGUGUAUUGUGGCUAAUAUCCACGAUACUUGACGGUACCCCCAAAGGAAGCACCGGCUAACUCCGUGCCAGCAGCCGCCGUAA